Molecule: ribosomal RNA, 253 nt
Filed under: uncultured bacterium
Lineage: Bacteria
Description: partial 16S ribosomal RNA
Rfam family: Bacterial small subunit ribosomal RNA
Source: RNAcentral
UACGUAGGGGGCAAGCGUUGUCCGGAUUUAUUGGGCGUAAAGAGCGUGUAGGCGGCCUUGCAAGUCCGUUGUGAAAACUCGAGGCUCAACCUCGAGACGCCGGUGGAAACUGCAAAGCUAGAGUCCGGAAGAGGAGAGUGGAAUUCCUGGUGUAGCGGUGAAAUGCGCAGAUAUCAGGAGGAACACCCGUGGCGAAAGCGGCUCUCUGGGACGGUACUGACGCUGAGACGCGAAAGCGUGGGGAGCAAACAGG